Molecule: small nucleolar RNA, 138 nt
Organism: Ornithorhynchus anatinus (platypus)
Lineage: Eukaryota; Metazoa; Chordata; Mammalia; Monotremata; Ornithorhynchidae
Source: RefSeq, a predicted model, not a curated record
UUCCUCUCAGGGUCUCACCUGGAGAGGUUCCAGUACUCUGCCAGUUUCGGCUACAGGAGGGAAAGUCAAGUAGAGGUCUACCCAUUCCAUUCCUAGCUUGGGGAGCGGCUAGCGAGUGGAAGGUAAUCUUCUACAAGU